CACGUAGGGUGCGAGCGUUGUCCGGAAUUAUUGGGCGUAAAGAGCUCGUAGGCGGUGUGUCGCGUCGGCCGUGAAAACCUGCAGCUUAACUGUGGGCGUGCGGUCGAUACGGGCAUCACUGGAGUUCGGCAGGGGAGACUGGAAUUCCUGGUGUAGCGGUGAAAUGCGCAGAUAUCAGGAGGAACACCGGUGGCGAAGGCGGUUCUCUGGGCAUGAUCUGACGCUGAGGAGCGAAAGUGUGGGGAGCGAACAGG
RNAcentral lists this ribosomal RNA (254 nucleotides) under uncultured bacterium. RNAcentral describes it as "partial 16S ribosomal RNA". It matches the Rfam family "Bacterial small subunit ribosomal RNA", at positions 524 to 776 of the family's 1533-position model. The record is from RNAcentral.